Molecule: microRNA precursor, 90 nt
Filed under: Olea europaea subsp. europaea
Lineage: Eukaryota; Viridiplantae; Streptophyta; Magnoliopsida; Lamiales; Oleaceae
Source: RNAcentral
AUGUACAUAUGUACGUACAUACGUACAUAUGUACACGUAUAUAUGUACGUACAUACGUACGUAUGUACGUACAUAUGUACGUACAUACGU